GAUGAACGCUGGCAGCAUGCUUAACACAUGCAAGUCGAGCGGAAAGUGGGGUUUUAACUUAGGUUUGGGUGGCGGACGGGUGAGUAACGAGUAAAGAACUUGCCUCACAGCUAGGGACGACAUACGGAAACGAAUGCUAGUACAUAAUAUUAUGAUAAUAGAGCAUCAUAGAAUUAUGAAAACUAUCAGCGCUGUGAGAGAGCUUUGCGUCACAUUAGCUAGUUGGGGAGGUAACGGCUCACAAAGGCGAUGAUGGGUAGCCAGCCUGGGAGGGUGAUCGGCCACAAGGGCCCUGGGGCACGGCCCUUACUCCAACGGGAGGCAGGAGCGGGGAAUAUUCGACACUGGACCAAGAGUCUGAUGCAGCACUUCUGUGUGCACGAUGAAGUUUUUCGGAAUGUAAAGUUGUUUAAGUUGCUAAGCACGAAAUGACGGUACCAACAGAAGAAGUGACGGCUAACUACGUG
This 467-nucleotide ribosomal RNA is filed under the name uncultured bacterium. RNAcentral describes it as "partial 16S ribosomal RNA". It matches the Rfam family "Bacterial small subunit ribosomal RNA", at positions 28 to 507 of the family's 1533-position model. The record is from RNAcentral.